GCCAAACAGCUAGCUUUAACCCCUAAAUAAACCAAAUCACAUUAAAAUACCCCAAAUUACUACAAUAAAACAAAUUAAAACAUUUUACCACCCAAGUAUGUGCGACAGAAAGGGAUCACAACUUUAUAAGCCAUAACAAAAGUACCGCAAGGGAACGCUGAAAGAGAAAUGAAAAAAAUCAUCAAAGCACCAAAUAGCAGAGACUAACCCUCGUACCUUUCGCAUCAUGAUUUAGCCAGUCCCCCCGAGCAAAGCGUACUUUAGUUCGAAACCCCGAAACUAAGCGAGCUACCCCGAGACAGCCUAUUAAUUAGGGCCAACCCGUCUCUGUGGCAAAAGAGUGGGAAGAUCCCCGGGUAGAGGUGACAAACCUACCGAGCUUAGUUAUAGCUGGUUACCUAAGAAAUGAAUAGAAGUUCAGCCUCGCCCCCCUCAACUCAAAAAUUAUAACACGAGCCAGAGAGAUACGCGAGAGUUAAUUAAAGGGGGUACAGCCCCUUUAAUUAAGGACACAACCUCCUCAGGAGGCUAAAGAUUAUAUUACACAAGACACCCUGCUUCAGUGGGCCUAAAAGCAGCCACCUAAACAGAAAGCGUUAAAGCUCAGGCAAGACCAGAAAUCUAUUAUCCAAAUAUUCAAUCUUAAACCCCUAAUAAUAUUAGGUCCUUCUAUGCCAACAUAGAAAAGAUACUGCUAAAAUGAGUAAUAAGAAGGAACCCCCUUCUCCCAAGCCCACGUGUACGUUAGAUCGGACCCCCCACUAACAACUAUCGAGCCCAAUUAAAGAGGGCAAUGUGACCACACCACAAACCAAGAAAUUCUCACAUAAUAAUAAUCGUUAAUCCAACACCGGAGGGCCCAUCAAAGGGAAAGACUAAAAGAAAAAGAAGGAACUCGGCAAACACAAGCCUCGCCUGUUUACCAAAAACAUCGCCUCCUGCAAAUCAACGUAUAGGAGGUCUUACCUGCCCAGUGACAAGUUAAACGGCCGCGGUAUUUUGACCGUGCGAAGGUAGCGCAAUCACUUGUCUUUUAAAUGAAGACCUGUAUGAAUGGUGGAACGAGGGCUUAACUGUCUCCUUUUUCAAGUCAAUGAAAUUGAUCUGCCCGUGCAGAAGCGGACAUAUAAAUACAAGACGAGAAGACCCUUUGGAGCUUAAGAUACAAGAUCAACUACGUCAAGAACCCAAGUUAAACUAAAUAGCCCCUGAUCAGCUAUCUUCGGUUGGGGCGACCGCGGGAGAAAACAAAGCUCCCAAGAGGACUGGGGUAACCCCUAAUACCAAGAGAAACAUCUCUAAGACACAGAACAUCUGACCAUAAAGAUCCGGCUACCCGCCGACCAACGGACCAAGUUACCCUAGGGAUAACAGCGCAAUCCUCUUCCAGAGUCCAUAUCGACAAGAGGGUUUACGACCUCGAUGUUGGAUCAGGACAUCCUAAUGGUGCAGCCGCUAUUAAGGGUUCGUUUGUUCAACGAUUAAAGUCCUACGUGAUCUGAGUUCAGACCGGAGUAAUCCAGGUCAGUUUCUAUCUGUAAAUGCCACUCUUCCUAGUACGAAAGGACCGGAAAAAGGGGGCCCAUAUUAUUACACGCCCCACCCUAACUUAAUGACAUCAACUAAAUUAAACAAAAGGAGGGCAUAAACCCUACAUCAAGAUAAGAUUU
Molecule: ribosomal RNA, 1670 nt
Filed under: Chrysichthys nigrodigitatus
Lineage: Eukaryota; Metazoa; Chordata; Actinopteri; Siluriformes; Claroteidae
Description: 16S ribosomal RNA
Rfam family: Bacterial large subunit ribosomal RNA (bases 96-1590)
Source: RNAcentral